AAAAGGCUGGAAAAAACCCGAGACCGAGACCGAGGCUUGGUCAAGAGAAGAGUUGAGCAAUAGCAACUUUAAUAGCAAAGGAUUGAACGCCAUCUUCAUGGCAGUACCCCAAGAAGAGUUCAAAAGGAUCUCUAUGUGUGAGAUAGCUAACGAGGCAUGGGACAUACUGGAAGUCACACAUGAAGGAACAAAGACUGUGAAGAACUCUAAAUUGCAAUUGCUAACUUCUAGAUUUGAAGAAAUUAAAAUGCUUGAAGAUGAAUGCUUUAAUGAUUUUUAUGCUAAACUGAAUGAUCUUGUGAAUUCCAGGUUUAAUCUUGGACAGAAGGUUGAAGAUUCAAGAGUCGUAAGGAAAAUCUUAAGAUCACUACCCGAGAGAUUCCGACCCAAGGUCACGGCUAUUGAGGAAAGUAAAGACUUGGAUACAAUUAAAGUCGAGGAGCUGGUCGGAUCCUUACAAACGUAUGAAUCUUCUCUUCCCCAAACUAGAAAAGGUAAAUCUAUUGUCUUGAAAACUGUGAAAGAAGAGAAUAAAGAUGGUUGUAGUGAGGAGAGUCUAUGAUGAUAUGGCUCUUAUUGCUAGGAAAUUCAAAAAAAAAAUUGUUUAAUAAGAAAACAAAUGGAAAACAAAAGAAAGCUAAAGAAUUUCUAGCAAAGAAAAAUGAUUCUGAAAAUUGGAACAAAAAAAAAAAUUGAGGAAAAGGAAAAAGUGAAGUGUCAUGAAUGUUCAGGCUAUGGUCAUAUUAGAGUUAAGUGUCCCAACUACAAGAAAAAUAAGGGAAAAGCAUUGAAUGUGUCACUUAGUGAGACUUCAGAUUCUGAGAGUGAAAAGUCAUCCUCAGAUGAUGACAAAUCUUUUAUGGCUUUUGUCACUAGUGUAAAUGAUUUACCUGAAAAUUCACUGACAAAAUCUGAAAGUGUUUGUGCUUCAAGUGAUUCGGACAUUGCUAUAGUUGAUGCUGAUCAAGAACUAUGUGUGCAAGAUGCCUAUAAUGAAGUGUGUGAAGAGGUAAUCGAGCUGAAAAAACUCACCAAAAAGCUGUAAAGUAAUCUUACAGCAUUAGAAAAUGAAAAAAAUAAUUUGGUUGAAGCUUUAAAAAUCUCUGAGGUCGAAGUGUUGAGACUGAAGGACCAAAAGGUUGCUCUAGAACAAAANNNNNNNAGGAUUAGGAUAUGUGGAUUCUAAAGGAAAAGGAAUACAAAUAUCAUCAUCCACUGCAUCAAGCUCCAAAGGUACUGUGUUUGUGAAGGAAAGCCAAAAGAAGAACCACAACGAUCCUCCCAUGCUAAAAGCAGUUCAGUCAAGAAACUACCACAAAAAUUUAGCACCAGACUUGCUGAAAAAUGGUAGGUAUGAAGGUAAGCAUACUCCUAUUUGUCAUCAUUGUGGAAUAAUUAGUCAUAUAAGACCACACUGCUUUAACAUGUUUCAAGUACAGAAAACUAAAGCUAAACAAAAUCCAAGAAAGAAGGGAAAAAGCCUACACAGUCAAGUUGAUGACAUAAGCCAUCAAAUUAAUCUUGUGAGCCGUGAGCUUGGUGAAUUAGUGAAGUUGUGCGCCCAGAAAAAUGAGAAAAGCAAGCUGGAAAGCAAAGAAGAGUGGGUUGUGAAAAACAAAACCGUAGGCCACAUAGCUCACACGGCCCUUAGAGUCAAGGAAAAAUGUUUUUGGUACUUGGACAGCGCUUGUUCAAGGCAUAUGACUGGAGAUAGAGCACUCUUCAAGGAGGUGCUACCAACAAAUGGAGGCACGGUAACAUUCGGAGAUGGCAGCAAGGCCGUUGUAGAAGGGAAAGGGAGUAUUGAAAUACUUGGACUGCCUACUUUAACUAAUGUUUUGUUUGUCAAUGGUCUUAAAGCUAAUUUAUUGAAUAUAAGCCAAUUUUGUGAUGAAAAUUUUUUUGUGCAGUUCUCAAAAGAGCAACAUCUUCAACUCAGCUGGUCAAUGGAUUGUUAAGGGCUUGAGAAUCGUGGAUAAUUGUUAUGGUGUUUCCCCAACUGUUAGAUUGAGCUGCCAUAGAGCUUUGCGAGAUGAAACCGAGUUAUGGCAUCAACGUCUGGGGCAUAUAAACUUCAGAGAUUUGGCUAAGAGCUCAAAAAGAGAACUGGUGGAUGGACUACCAAGAGCUAUUAAAGGAAAGAAAAUUGUGUGUGGAGCAUGCCAAGAAGGGAAGCAAACAAGAACACGGCACAAGAAAAAUUCUCUCAUUCAUACCUCUCGGCCCCUUAAGCUUUUGCACAUGGACUUGAUGGGUCCAACACAAACCGAGAGCCUAGGUGGAAAGAAAUACAUCAUGGUGAUCGUAAAUGACUUUACACGAUAUACAUGGACCAUUCUCUUGAGAGUAGUGAUCAUGGAAGAGAAUUUGAGAAUGCAAACUUCACUACUUUUUGUGAUGAACAGGGAAUCUACCAAGAAUUUUCAUCACCCAUUACUCCACAACAAAAUGAAGUAGUAGAGAGAAAGAAUAUGGCAAUACAAGAGAUGGCACGGACCAUGCUAAGUAACAAGAAAAUGGUGCUGCAUUUGUGGGGAGAAGUUGUGAACACAGCCAAUCACAUCUUAAAUCGAGUUGUUCUCUGACCCGGCACCAAACAAACUCCUUACGGUUUGUGGAAAAACAAAAAACCCACGGUAAAAUAUUUUAGAAUUUUCGGUAGCAAGUGUUACAUUUUAAGAGACCGAGAGAACACUCAUAAAUUUGAGAGCAAAAGUGAUGAAGGUUUGUUUCUUGGUUAUUCUUCAAAUAUUAGGGUUUAUAGAGUUUACAACUUACGUACAAAAUCUGUCAUGGAAUCUUUUAACGUGGUUGUAGAUGAUGUUUCAGCUGAAAUUACCAUGAGAGUGCUGGAAAAAUUACCGGAGUCAGUGCCAAGUAGCGAAGAAGACUCUCAAGAGCAAAAUGAUGAAGAGGACAGAGAACAUAGUCAUUCUAAAUCAAAAGAUCCCUCUUCAAGAGUCACCAAAAAUCAUCCAAGGGAAAAUAUGCUUGGUGAAUCGGAUGAAAGUAUGAGGCUAAAAAAGAGAGUGAUUAAUCAAGUCUCAUUUUUGUGCUAUCUUUCACAGGUUGAGCCCAAAAAGGUGGAAGAAGCACUACAAGAUGAAAUUUGAGUCAAUGCAAUGCAUGAAGAGCUCCAUCAAUUCACUAAAAAUGAUGUGUGGGAGUUAGUUCCAAGACCGAAUGACCACAAUAUCAUCGGGACUAAAUGGAUCUUCAAAAAUAAGUCUGAUGAGCAUGGAAAAAUUAUAAGAAAUAAAGCAAGAUUGGUUGCUCAAGGAUACACUCAAGUGCAGGGGAUAGAUUUCGAUGAAAAAGUCGCCCUGGUAGCUCGGCUAGAAUCUGUCUGGAUCUUAUUAGCACUUGCUUGUCAUCUAGACUUCAAGCUUUAUCAAAUGGAUGUCAAAAGUGCCUUCCUAAAUGGCAUACUCCUAGAAGAGGUAUAUGUUGAACAACCAAAGGGCUUUAUUGAUCACUCACAUCCUGAUUUUGUCUACAGGUUAAAGAAGGCCCUCUAUGGACUAAAACAAGCACCUCGGGCUUGGUAUGAGAGGUUGACAGCUUAUCUAACAGAACAUGGUUUUUGUAGAGGACAAGCUGAUAGGACAUUAUUCAUAAGAAGAUCAGGUAAGCAACUCUUACUAGCCCAAAUAUAUGUGGAUGACAUUGUGUUUGGAGCUACACUUGAGUCUCUAGCAUAUGAGUUUUCCAAUGAAAUGAAAUCUGAAUUUGAAAUGAGCAUGAUAGGAGAGUUAAAUUUUUUUUUGCUAGGAAUCCAAGUAAAACAAUGCAAAGAAGGAAUUUUUAUCUCCCAAUCCAAAUAUGCUAAAGACCUUGUGAAAAAGUUUGGCAUGGAAGGAAAAAGCAACGCUCGUACUCCUAUGAGUGCAUCGGUGAAAAUUUACAAGGAUCCUACAGGUAAAAACGUUGACCCUACUCUCUAUAGGAGCAUGAUAGGAAGCCUUUUAUAUAUCACUGCAAGUAGACCUGACAUAGCAUUUAGUGUAGGGGUGUGUGCUAGGUUUCAGGCCAAUCCAAAAGAAUCUCAUCUUACUACAGUAAAAAGGAUAAUAAAAUAUCUUAAUGCAACUGUGGAUUAUGGGACAUGGUUUACUAGAGACACAAAUCUAACACUUGCUGGAUAUUCGGAUGCGGAUUGGGCUGGGGAUGCUGAUGAUAGAAAGAGCACCUCGGGUGGAUGUUUUUAUGUGGGAGGAAAUCUAGUUGCUUGGCUAAGUAAAAAACAAAAUUCAAUUUCCCUAUCCACUGUCGAGUCUGAGUACAUAGCUUUAGGGAGUUGUUGUACUCAACUAUUAUGGAUGAAAAAGGUACUAGAAGAUUAUGGAUUCUCUCAAAAUACAAUGUUGGUCUAUUGUGACAACUCUAGUGCUAUUAAUAUUUCCAAAAAUCCAGUACAGCACUCGAGAACCAAACACAUUGACAUUAGACAUCAUUUCAUUAGAGAAUUGGUGAAAUCUAGAGUCAUAUCUUUAGAGCAUAUUCCUACCGAGCAUCAAUUGGCCAACUUAUUCACUAAACCUCUAGAUGGUCUAAGGUUUGAAUUUUUAAGAAAAGCCAUCGGUGUUUGCGACAUCAAAUGAGUUGACCUCCUCUUUGUUUAAGAAAAGCAUAAUUUUUUUUCUAUGUUUUCGUUUUUUUAAUUUAUUAUAUAUAUAUAUAUAUAUAUAUAUAUAUAUAUAAUAAAAAAUAAUAAUAUGCUGGUUAUUUGGUUUGGCCCUAUGAUGUAGUGUGCAUGAUUGAUGGUGUGUUGAAGGUUUUGAGCUUAUUGAUACUCACUUAAUAAAUCUUUGAACUCAUGCAGUCUUUUUCUUGUUUUAUGCAUCCCAUCUUGUGCAUACUAACCCUAUUGGUCAUAUUAGCAAAGGUUCAUGCUUAAAGCACUAUAAGAAACUUGUAUGGAUGAAAUCAAUAAAAAAAAAAAAGGAAGGACUGGAUAAGCAUGAUUGAGAUGCUCUUUAUAAGAGGGAGUCCAGGCCUUAAAUUGACCAAUACUAGUUGAACCUAGUACAAAAAAAUUCUCCCCUUGCCAAACACAACUUGUUGAUCCUUAUAGAAAAAGUCAGUGUGACAAUCAUUGCGGAAAAAGACUCACACUAUACACGGAUCUAACCUUGGAAGUUCUUAUGAAAAAAAAAAACCGUUGCCUCCCUCAUUGCGAAAAAAGAUGAGCAACAAAAAUGAACCGAAAAGGGGAUAUGCAAGUGAAGUGUUUAGAGGAAGCAAUUAUGUAUCUAGGCCCUAGCAUAAGGUUUGCCUUAAGGUGAGUGACAAAAUCUUGAGAGCAUCUUUCAAAAGAAAAGUCCUAUGAAUAAUGAUGAUCAAAAGAAUAAGGCAUUCAUAAAAAUUAUUGAACAAAUUCAUCAAUAAAAAGUUGCUACCCUUCAUAAGUUGCUCACUCACACACUCACAUGAACCUUGUCUUUGAUGAUUUCAAGAGGAGUGAAAAUCCAUUGUGGGUAUAGCACUCAAGAGGAUGUAUGGUCUUUGCUUUAUUUUGUGAGUAGCACUUUGAUUGAAUCUUGAUGCAUAUCAUUGUGCUCCCUGCUUCAUUGCCAUUCAUUUUACAAAAUUCUGCAUAUAAGCAUUGUAUUUAGCAUUCUUGUUUUAUUUAAUUUGGUCAAUUCUGAUGUUGGCAGUGCAUGUGUGGCAGUUCUUGAGAAACAAUUCUUAGGGUAUCUGGACGUUCUACAGCACAACAUGUGCUUAUUAAAUAUAUUAAGUGUAUUGAGACUGUUUUGUGCAUAUAUUAAGGUUGUAAAUCAUGAGUUUUGAACAUUUGCACUUCACGUGCUUAACAUUGCCUACAAAGUCUUUCAAAUAUUGCUUAAAGCCACUUGUUUGCUCAAGUGCACUUGUUUGCUCUCUAUUUCGUGUCCAUAUGAUGAUCUGGUUGUUUUGAUUCAAACCAAGUUCAGCAAUUUUUUUUCUCGGAUAAGGACGAAGGACCGUGCGAAGCGUAUCAAGCCUGCAAAACCACUUCUCAAGUGAGGACAAUCAGGUUGCCCAAUCCUUUUGCUUCCAUUGCCUGAUCUCGUUGACAAAAAGGGGGAGAUAAGUAAGGGGGAGCAGCAUAGAUAUAGGGGGAGUCCAAAGUGGAAUUACACAUUCAUCAAAAAUGAUUUGUCACAAAUCAGCCAAAAGGGGAGAUUGAAAACGCAGAUUGGCUUGGAUUAGUGAGUUUAAAUUUAAAUAGGAUAAGAUUUAUCUUAUCUCUAAAGUUGUAUUUUUGAAUGAAUGCAAUUUAAAACUAUGGGAUUUAUCCAUAACAAUUUGAGUCCUAUUAGGAGUCUAGGCGACGAGUUUCAGCAGCACUUUUUGAUUAUCCAUUUAAAUCAAAUUAAAUAGAAACCUUGUGGUUUUUCCUGCUGGAGCACAUAUCUAGAGAUAUUGGAGAGCCAUAUUGAAAAAGUUGAGUGAAAAAUUCUCCCUGUGAAUUCUAAUGCUUGUGAAGCGUGAUCUUACUCAAGGUUUGAAAAGAUUGUGAUUGGUGUCUAGCCACUGGAGGUUCCAGGAGAAAAGGUAAUUGAUUGAAGAUCGCCAGAGGUUCUGGCUGCUACCAUGAUAGGGAUAAACGGGUCGUUUGUCCAGUUAAGUAAGGGAAUCAAUUAACAAAGGUUUUGUGAUUGAGUUGCUUAUUUGUAAACUGAUUUUCAAUCAAUAAAAUUAUCUUUUCUGGGUAGGCUAUCCUAAUGUAAUGCUUGAUAAGUUAAUUGUUGCUUGUUUAUAUUAAUUCACAUAAUAUAAAUCUAACAAUUUGAUUACUGAAAGUGUUAGUGCAUAUUCAGCCAUACAGGGGUAAAUAAAUAGGGAACUUCAGCAU
Molecule: long non-coding RNA, 6841 nt
Filed under: Olea europaea subsp. europaea
Lineage: Eukaryota; Viridiplantae; Streptophyta; Magnoliopsida; Lamiales; Oleaceae
Source: RNAcentral